Clupea harengus (Atlantic herring) is the source of this 5366-nucleotide long non-coding RNA. The record is from Ensembl. Lineage: Eukaryota; Metazoa; Chordata; Actinopteri; Clupeiformes; Clupeidae.
CUCCAUGCACCUGGAAAUCAUUGGAUCAGAAAUAAUGAACUGUGUGAAGUUCUCGGUGGGGAGGCGUGCUCACAUGUAUUAGUCCAUUAUGGUCAACACCAGAUAAAAACACACGGGGGACGACUGUUUUCAACCGACUUUAUUCUAAUUGUGCGAGAAAUUGCGUGCUGUGCGUCUGAUCAUAGAAGCAGAAGGCAGAACGAACUUGCUUGGCAGGUGAAUGCUAUAUUGUGCUUAAACGGCUUACACUAAAGCGUGCACUAACUAAAAGACCUUCGCUGCAUUCAACCAAAGGUGACAUGUUGACACACAGCCAAUGCGGGGGACAGGUCAUUCGCUAAUGGGGAGAUAAUGACAAGGAAAUCAUUUUCAUGUCGCUAAGCUACGCUAACUUAUUGUCCUCCAUAAAUAUGCAAGUGCACCCAGAUUUCGUAUCCAAAGUCAGGAAGCAGCAGCCCUACGAAUCAAUUAGCACGCAACCCAAGAAGCCUCACAAUCCAUUCCCAGUCUCUUUGUAAUCAGAUGAACCAAAGUCAAGGUCCCCUCACAGUUCUCUGAAUUGGUUAAGAUACCCAGUGGUAUGUAGUUGAAAUGUGGUGCUUUAAGGCGAAGAUCUUCAUAAUAUUCCAGAAUUUGAUAAAACUGUUGGUGAAACACCUAAACACAUUUAAAGGUCCAGAAGAAACAGAAACUUUGAUUUAGAGUCUAGUUGUGAGGACUCACUAGGUACAAGUAUAGUAAAAAUGUCUAAAUAUUAGGUACCUCAUUUGUUUGGUAGAAAAAAAUCCUAAAUACUAUUAAAGGAAAAUUGGUGUGAACAGGUAGGUGGUAACACCUGCUAGGCUCUAGGCCUGCCGCACCUCCACUGGUGCCCAUUGGGCUAGCUGCGGGGUCAUUAGCCAGGGACACACAUACUAGUACACGCAUAAAGUGCACACCACCUAAUGGCCAUGAUAUAAAGUUGCCUUAAUUAGUAGAUAGAUAUCUGUUUGGUAUAAAUUCAAAAUCCUGGGUAUUUAGUUUGAGCACAAAGGUAGUCUUGCCUAACUAAUGACAAACUGGAUCCUCAGUUUAGUUCUCAUUUGUAUUACGAUGAGACGGUAUGGAGAGCUAGCUAGUAAUCUGACAGGAUCUCAGUUUUAGUCAUGUGAAAUGCCCUAGCCUUACCCUCAAGCCAAUUGUGGAUCAAAGUAUUCAGGACCACGAUGAAGUUUUAGCCAGGUGCAAGCUUUUAGGCUUUUAGGCUUUGCUCUUACUGCCUGGUGGGCUUCUGUAACUUGGCUGGCUAUAGGCUAUGCUCAACCAUUAAGUGAGGUCAGUGACGACUUUCAUUCAGUUUUAGUUGGUGGUGGAGACCGCUGGGUUGUCAAUAGCUUGGUUUUUCGUAUAAACAAACAGUGUUUCCCCGUCUAAGAAACCCACCACGGAUACAGUUGUUGUCUUAAACUCACUGAUCAUGUGCCGCUGUAAUUAGUUCAGCCUGGUGCAAUCUGGAACGGUAAUGUCUAAAAUCACUGCAGCACACUUGUCUGCAGCACACUUGAGUUCUCACAAGAACAGCGGCAAGUGUCAAAUCUCAUUCUCAGUAUUUCAUUACUGGAUUGGCAGAUCUGAAAUCACAUAAUGCCUCAGUUUUCUUCCCUACUGAUGAAAGCAGAAAUACAAUUUCUUGAAAUGUCAUAACUCUUCAGGAAUGGCAGAUCAGCUGCCUUGAGCCAUGUACUCAUUCACAUAUGGGAUUGCUGAUUGAUAUGGAGAGGACACAUGAGUAUGAGGUUUACAGUGCUAAGCUGAUGAGUUCUCACGGUAGAUUUAAAGACAAUAUAAAAGCAUUAUGGAAAAGGUAUUGGGCAGAUCACAAAACAAUAUUUGCAAUACAACUUUACAAUAGUAAAAAGCUUUCGAUCUGCUCUAAUGCCUUACCAAUGACUGUAAACCAAACUGAACCAAUGAUUUCAUCAAAUAUGGUUUGGUUCUGGGUGGACCCGAAUGAUAUUCUGUUCACUCUGCAUACUGGCUCACACUUGAGCCCAUGGCACCUUUUCAUUUUGAUGUAUUUUGUCUUAAUUUCUGUGUGGCGAAAUGCUGCCCAUGCUUUUUUGCAGUCGUUUUGCCUCACACAUGUUUGUGAUGCAUCACCUGCUGCAUGCAUAGUUUGACAUGCUAAUAUAUUUACAUGUUGAAAUAAUAACAAAGGAGACAUUCAGUGUAUUAGCUGGUUGAUGUAUGAGGCGGGUGUGUUCACUUGCACCCAUUUUUCAUGUACCUCGUUGAAUAUGCGCCACCAUAGGUCAUUUCAGUCAUGAUGGGGGAGCCUGGUAAAAAAAAAUCCCCAUCGGCUGAUUAGAAUUGCCUGUAUGUGUUGCCACUGGAGGCGACUAGCAUCCGGGGCUAACCAGCCAGAAAUGAUCAUGAUAUCCGCUGCAUACGUGUGGAACGCUAACAUAUAAAUCAGGAACACGAGAACACAGAACACAAGAUGCACACAGAAUCCAGGGUGACUAACAUUUACCUCCAGCUUAUACACAACCCUCUGUGGACUAAAAAUAUUGACAAAGCCAAGGAUGUAGUAGAUCUUUUUCUCUUUUCUUCCUGUCUAUUUUACCACAGUGGUCCCUAUCCUCUGUGGGCGAGCAUUGGCAGGCCUAAUUGGAUGGUCUAUGAAUGGGGAUGGCUCGUGCCUUGCAGGCACACUCCGACAGCCUUGAAUAAGGAUCAGUCUACUGAAGGUGUUGAAUAUAAAUGCAGUGCUUAUUCUCCACCAGCAUCGUGCAAGCUAGAUGCGUCACAGACAGGAAUGUCUGCAAGGCAUCAGACACGCGACACACAUUCCCCACCCCACUCUGGUCGUCCCCACUGUUGCCUGCACGCCAUGCAUGGCCACUACACAGUCUGCAGGGGCGCAGGGGGUCGUCACACUAACCAAUAAAACAACCCCCCCAACCAUAGAUUCUGCACAGCAGGAUGCAACACACAACUGGGUGGAGACAUCCGACCGCAACACACGCCGCAUGUUGAACCCGGGAUCCAUAAGGGCACUCCUUCACAGUACAGCAUGCAUUGUCUGUAGCUCGGAAUAACUUAAUUCAGUCUCUUAAACACAGAGAUGCUGGAUCCAUAUUCAUGUAAGUCACUGCUGUGUUGAAUCAUGGAGAGUAGUGCAAGCCGGCAGUUACACUCCAUCAUCUAGUCAAUCCAUCUCUCCCCUCUGAUGCUCCGCCAGUGAGCAGGAGCAUCAGGAAUGGCUCAUCGAGUUCAUCGACACAUCUAACCAAUCUUCCUCAUCUAAUCACCGCCAGUGCUCCUCCGUGAAGCUUAUUGGCAUUGAUGGCAUGUUUGCUUCCAUAAUUGCAUUCAUAUAUAGGGCCAUCAGUCUCUGAAUGUAAUUGGAACUCUGGAGAUAAUGAGUUGCACGUGGGAACCUCUCACACAACUGUAAUACUUUUUUCAGAGGUCAGUUGUCAAGAACACCCACAUCUUUGUUUGAUAUGUGUACUUAAAAAGCUUUUAUUUAAAAAAGAAAAAGUAGUUUGAAGCCAAAUGGAGUGUGAUUGUAUGCAUGUAUAUUGAUGUAUACUUUGUACUGUAGGUAUUAUUUUGCUAGUGUUCUCCUGCAUACUGCCAAGGUUUUCAUUCUGGUGGGGUGUUUUGAUCAGAGCUGGUAAUGCUUUAGGGACUGGAGAGUGCUGAGUUCACAGAUCUAUGAGUCAGUAACAGAUUGACAUGCAAAGAUGGGUCUAAGCACAGGGUCAGUUUAAUAUCGGGUGGACAGACUGUAGACUAGGGCUGAACGAUUUGGGAAAAUAAUCUAAUUGCGAUUUUUUACCAAAAUAUUGCGAUUGCGAUUUAAUAUGCGAUUUUUUUCCCCUCUUUUUUCCCCCAACAAAACGUAAUGAAUGAUUUAAAUAUGAACAACACAAUAUUAGAUACAUUUAGUGUAAAAUAUUCUUUCCCACAUUUUACAUUUUUAUUUAACUGCUCAUUACAGAAACAAGAACAACAAAUCGGUGGCUUUGCCACUGUGCAUUUAAGUAAUUUAAAAAAAGUAAUUUUAAGUAUAAACACUAGGCAUGCACUUUUUUAACACUGUGUGCAAAAUGUACCAUCUUAAAAAAAUAAAAAUAAAAAUAAAAAAAAAUCAUAAUUUUUUUUUUUUUUUAGACCACGUUUUUUAAUCGCGAACGUUGCGGUUAGAAAAUCGCGUUCUAUCAUAUCGCGAUUAAAUCGCAAAUGCAAUUAAUCGUUCAGCCCUACUGUAGACUAUUUGGUUGAUGUGGGGAGACUAAUUCAGACAAGAUGCCUGUCAAGGUGUGACAUGCAGUCUCGCUUUUGUUGCGUUUAUUAAUAUUGAUUUUGGCAUAUGAUAAAUUAUAAAUAGAAAUGCCUAAUAAACAGUAUUCAGUGACUGCACAAUGCGAUGUUUAUUUUUUCUUGUCUUUUAUGUGGAAAGUGUGGCUAUCAUGCACAUUCAAAGGGUUGAUCUUAAAUCUCCUAAAUGGAUAUAUUUAGCGUUUACAUUUGCCACUGUAAAUGAAAGUCAAAUUCUACCAUCUGGCAUUGCUACCCAAUGGGAUUAUGCCACUACCUAACCUGAGGAAAUGGAACCCUCUUUUGCCUUGUCAGGACAAUACACCAAGAGCCUCUUACCCCGCAAGCAAGCAAGGUAACUCUAAUUGGGUUUCCAUCGCCAACACAUUACUAGGACAGCAGCUGGGUAGCCUGGUGUAAUCCAUAUUUGCUCAGAAGGGAGAAAUUGAGUUAGCAUUGAGAGACUGGAUAGGCAGGAGCUACUGCUGAUUCAGUCUGAAAACAUAUAAGAUGCCUGAGGCACAAACAUUGACAGGAUGAAACGGGGAGAGCUUCUUGAGCAGCUGGUGUCUAGCUGGGAUGGAUAGUUAAUACUGUAAUGUUACACAACAUUCUAUUCAAACAAAAAGUACUUUCACUGAAUUUCAGUCUUUCAGCCUCUGAGUACGAACAAAACAUGCUGAUGCUGAAAACCUUUGGGCAUGAGACCUUUCUUACUUUCACACUCCUUAUCCUCUUUCAACUUUGGGGAAAUUGUGUGUCUGUGCUUCUAACAUGUGUCUGCUCUUGAUGAAGAAAAUAUUCCAUAUACCUGUACUUUGGAUUCUAUACAUGUAGAAGGAGGUAGUUUACUGUUUAUAGAAUGGACGGUGGACGUGACACAUUUAGCAUUUUAGCAUGCUAUACAUUUAGCAUUUACACAAUGUUUGAGAAUGCCAUACUGUCUAAGUAGCAGCACAGCACUGUAUUUAAAAAUGGCACUUCUAAUGAUCUUUAAUAGGGGAAUUUCACUUCAAAAUGUAUUCAGUUCAAAUUAAUUUUGAUGUUAUAAGGUCAUG